Vidua macroura (Pin-tailed whydah) is the source of this 2308-nucleotide long non-coding RNA. RefSeq lists it as uncharacterized. Lineage: Eukaryota; Metazoa; Chordata; Aves; Passeriformes; Viduidae. The record is from RefSeq and is a predicted model, not a curated record. The transcript is spliced from 2 exons.
CCUCACGGCCCUCGCAGGGAAUAAUUCACCCGAAAACCGAGCACGGCGCUGGGCACCGGGUCCGGCCGCUCCCCCAGCACUGCCAGCACCAUCCGGGCCCCCAAGUGCCACAUCCCCACGGCUUUUGUAUCCCUGCAGGGAUGCGGGCUCCACCACUGCCCUGCGUGAAAACUCUGGUGAGGCCGUUUUCCCAGGAUCCAAACUAAACCUCCCUGGCACAGCUUGAAGGACCCAAGCUCUCCUCCCCCGCAACUAUUUCAGGUGUCGCUGCCUCGUUAGAACACUCCAUUUUCUGUAUGUAAUAAAACGGGUAGAAAAGGUGCAGAAUAAGUCCUUGGUACAGAACUGUGUAGCCUGAUUUUCUCCACCAGAACAUGAGCAAGAACUUUCCCUUGCAGUGACCAAGCACUGAACAGAUUGCCCAGGGAGGGGUACAAUCUCCCUCCCUGGAGAUAUUCCAGAACUGUCUGGACACGAUCCUGAGCCUGUGCUCUGGGAUGGCCCUGCUGGAGCAGGGAGGUGGCACCAGGUGACCCCACUGUGGUCCCUUCCAGCCUCAUUGUUCUGUGGUUCUGAGAUUCUAUGUGCAUUUGAUGAGCCUCAGCUCCGUGGCUGGGCAGAUCAUGGAACAGAUUUCCCAGAAGCUGUGCUAGGGCUCUCCUGGAGGACGGGGAGGUGAUUUGGGACAGCAACAGCUCCAUCAAGGUCAAGUCCUGCUUGAUCAACCAAGGGGCCUUCUAUGAUGGAGUGACCACAUGGAGUGGACAAGGGAAGGGCUAUGGAUGUCACCUGUCUGGACUUCUGUAAAGCCUUUAACACAGUCCCACACAACUUUCUUCUGUCUCUCCAUAGAGAUGAAUUUUAUGGAUGGACUGUUUGGUGGAUAAGGAAUUGGCUGGAUGGUCACAUCCACAGUGCAGUGGUUGACUCAAUGUCCAGAUGAAGAUCAGAUGUGUCCCUCAGGUCUGUUUGGCACCAUUAUGAUUUAAAGUCUUCAUCAAAGACAUGAACGGGAGGAUCAGGUGCACCCUCAGCAGAUUUGCACAUAACUCCAAGCUGAGUGGUGUGGCUGACAUGCCUGAGGGAUGGGAUUCCAUCCAGGCUGGAUGGGGCUCUGAACAACCUGAUCUAGGUGAAGAUGUUCCUGUGCAUUGCAGUGGGGCUGGGCUAUCUGAUCUUCGAAGGUCCCUUCCAAUCCAAACCAAAUAAGUCAAAGUAAUUAAGCUUAAGCAAAAUUAUUCCAAAAAAAAUGCAAAAAGCUUGAAAGCUUAGAAUCCUAAAAUGACAAUUUUCUGUUACCAGCAAACUGUAUCCACCUUCUUUUGUAGUGCUCCUUUAUAGAAAUCUCAGGAUGUAUUAGACCAUUACAAGUGAAAACUGAGGUAGGCAAGAGGGACUUUACCUCUUGUAUCCAUCCCUUCCUAAGGUUAAAAACAACAGAGAAUUUCACUAAACAAAGAUUAACAUUACUCACUGCUGAAGAGGAUAAAUGCACAGUGAUGCAGUGCAUAAUUUGUGGGUGCUUAUCCCUAUUAGUGGGGCCAACAGCUCUGAAUUUAAGCAUUUACUUAAGCUUCCUAUUCAAGGCACAGGACAAUUGCCUACAUUUUUAUACCUAACUCAAAGCAGCAAAUAAAUGCACUUUUCCAGUGAGAUUAAACAUCCAGGAGCCUCUGUCAUUGCUGGGUGCUUGAGGGUGGGACUUCACAGGGACUUGUGUGAACCUCACUCCAGGGCUGCCAAGUUCUCCUGUGCAAAAGCCCUCAGAGCUGUCCCAGUGGUCCAUGAGAUGAUGAUCUGACUGGAAAGUAGCAACAGAGAAAUAAGAUUCCUUUUCAAUCAAAUAAACUUGCAAAUGUUGCUGGCCUGGGAGAUGAAUACUGGAAGUGUGCAGGCAGUCAACAAAAUUAUAUAUUUAAUAGACAUGGUUUUGUAACAGUUCUGCUAUAACAGUCCUUAAGCUAAAAAUUAUUAGAAAUGCUGAUGGAUUGUUAAAAAAUCAAAUAUGAAGACCUAAAAUUUAAAUGUGACAUUCACAUAAGUUUAGGCUUUGGUUGGCAAAGAUGUUAAUUAAAUGAGAUUUGCCUGCAUCCUUGCUUCAUGGCUGUCUUGCUGCAUCUAUUCAGUGAAACUGAUAAAGCUGCUCUGUAGAAGCCCAGAAUAAAGUUCUGAUGAAAACAAAUCAAAAGAAAGCAAAAAACCAAAAGAAACCCCAGUUUUGCUGCUUCCUAAAGCUUUCGGAAGCCUAGGUAUGUGAUCAGGAUUGCUGGUCAAUAAAGCUUAAUUAAUAAAGCUGGAUAAUAAAGCA